This 741-nucleotide ribosomal RNA is filed under the name Saccharomyces paradoxus. Its description in RNAcentral is "partial large subunit ribosomal RNA". The stretch from base 157 to 741 matches the Rfam family "Bacterial large subunit ribosomal RNA", at positions 568 to 1124 of the family's 2925-position model. The record is from RNAcentral. Lineage: Eukaryota; Fungi; Ascomycota; Saccharomycetes; Saccharomycetales; Saccharomycetaceae.
AGAGAUAUUAUGAGUAUUGGUGAGAGAAAAUAAUAAAGGUCUAAUAAGUAUUAUGUAAGAAGUAUGUAAGAAAAUAGGAUAACAAAUUCUAAGACUAAAUACUAUUAAUAAGUAUAAUAAGUACCGUAAGGGAAAGUAUGAAAAUGAUUAUUUUAUAAGCAAUCAUGGAUAUAAUUUUAAUAUUAAUGAUGUACCUUUUGUAUAAUGGGUCAGCAAGUAAUUAAUAUUAGUAAAACAAUAAAGUUAUAAAUAAAUAGAAAAAGUAUAUAUAUAAAAAAAUAUAUUAAAAUAUUUAAUUAAUAUUAAUUGACCCGAAAGCAAACGAUCUAACUAUGAUAAGAUGGGUAAACGAUCGAACAGGUUGAUGUUGCAAUAUCAUCUGAUUAAUUGUGGUUAGUAGUGAAAGACAAAUCUGGUUUGCAGAUAGCUGGUUUUCUAUGAAAUAUAUGUAAGUAUAGCCUUUAUAAAUAAUAAUUAUUAUAUAAUAUUAAAAUAAUAUUAUAUAAAGAAUGGUACAGCAAUUAAUAUAUAUUAGGGAACUAUAAAAGUUUUAUUAAUAAUAUUAAAUCUCGAAAUGUUUAAUUAUAUAUAAUAAAGAGUCAGAUUAUGUGCGAUAAGGUAAAUAAUCAAAAGGGGAAACAGCCCAGAUUAAGAUAUAAAGUUCCUAAUAAAUAAUAAGUGAAAAAAAUAUUAAAAUAUUAUAAUAUAAUCAGUUAAUGGGUUUGACAAUAACCAUUUUUU